Aedes albopictus (Asian tiger mosquito) is the source of this 7820-nucleotide RNA transcript. RefSeq lists it as uncharacterized. NCBI's taxonomy places the organism in Eukaryota, Metazoa, Arthropoda, Insecta, Diptera, Culicidae. The transcript has 2 exons. The record is from RefSeq and is a predicted model, not a curated record.
UGUUCCAUUUCCUGUGAUUUACUUUGUUGAUGGCCACUCAUCGCAUACGGGAUAUGAGGUAGCAGAGCUUUGUGCCAGCCUUGGUAUUAUCCUUAUCGCGCUUUAUCCUAAUGCCACGCAUAUAAUGCAACCAGCGGAUGUUGCUAUCUUCAAACCGUUAAAAACAGCUGGAGCCGUUGCGUCGAAGAUUGGAACUGGCGGAAUAAGGAUAAGCUAUUUACCAUAGACGAGUUUCCAGGAGUACUGAAAGCAGCGAUUAAUGAAUGUAUUUCACCGUCCACCGUACGAUCUGGAUUUCGUAAGAGCGGACUGUAUCCAUUGGCAGAGGAAGCUCUCAGUUAAUAACUGUGGAAGUGCUCAUAGAACACUAAGCUGAGAAGCAGGCUUUGUCCCAGUGAGGACGUUACGCCAAGAAGAAGAAGAAGAAGAACGAAAAGCAAAGACAAUUAAUGUUAAAUUCACUUCAAACGGCACUACUUAACAAAUUUACAAUACUACAAAACACUACACACCUUAACAAAACUUAAAACUGGCAGAAGGUCGCCGAAGCUCGCUUCUGUUCUCCAGCCGACUCAACUAUAAAGUGAUGGAGUCAGUUGAAACCUCUAGUCAAGUAAAUUUCCUGCUAUUGAAGCAGUCGUCUAUUUAAUCUACAAACUAUUAUAUACAAGUGCGCCAAAUUCAAUCGCACAUAGCCGCAAAACUAUUUUACGCCAUCGAAAAAAGUCCUAUUAGAUACACAACAUGAAUCGUCAUUAACUUAGCCUAGACACAAACCUUACAUGAAACGGAUAAUCUCUACUAAAUGAAACGGUUCUAACUCAAAGACAAAUUCAACGAAUCCAAUUUUACUUAAAAAAGAUAAAAACGUCAAAAGCUACAAAUAAACUAAAAUAGUAAUAAUUUAAAGAAACGAACUUUGAAUUAGAAAUCUUAAAUAUUGAAAAAAAAACAUAUUUAUCCAAGUUUAUCGAACUGUAUUCAUGUUUUAUUUUACUUAAAAAGAUGAAAAUCGUCAAAACGUUACAGUGUUACCGCACCUAGCUACAAAGCAGCAAAUGAAAUUGCUCAACACGAAGCGUUUACUGUUGCAUACGUGGUCUAUGUGCCAGCACGAGAAGUGGAGGUGGAGGGGAAGAUCCUCGACGAAAUGCUGACAUGUGAGGACAUCAAGACCGGCUUUGGUCGAUUCAAAAAUAGGUCAAUUCCUGAUGUGGCUAUCCUAGACUGUAAACGCUUAUCUAAGGCUUCCAUGGAAGGAAAUAAAAAGGUGUACUCGCCUUCAGCGUUUUUUCGAGUGACUUUCCCAGGUUCCGUCCUCCCAGAAUUUGUUGUAAUCGAUGGUGGUUUUUACCCAGUGCAUCUUUUUAGGCUUUAGGUUUUUAAUUGUACCAAAUGCAAGCAGUUUGGUCACAGUGAUAGCUUUUGCGACAACAAGCCCCGUUGUGGUAAAUGCAACCAAGCUCAUUUGGAGGACUCUUGCACACAGGAAGCGGAAAACUGUAGCUACCGUGGCGGAGAUCCACACGACUUGCAAGUUUGCCCGGCUUACAAAAGACGCAUUCGAAAUGAGAGUCGCCCUAUUGUAAGGCGCUCCAAGCAGACCUAUGUGGAGAUGGUGAAAUCUUUUAAAACACCAGAUUCCGUGUCUGAAUCAGCUGUCCCAGUUGAAAAUCCCUAUCAGGAGUUGUCUUCCGAUGAUCAGGACGAUGGCGAAACUGAUGAGGGUGGAUCUCUUUCGAAGGUACACGCACCUGGAAAAAGGAAGUCACCAUCUUCCCCGGGAUUGCGCCGAAAGGUCUUUUUGAAGUCUUCCCUCAAAAGUUUGCCUAAUGUCAAAGGAGACGGGGUUAACUUAAAAACUCCGAAGAAUCAGGUUCCUUUAGCUUCAGAUCCAUGUUGUAGCAAGAACCUGUCACCCCCGUCUCCGCCUGUUAAAUACACUUCAAAGAGAAAUAAUCGACAAGGUAGCAAGAAAAAAGCUACCAAAGUUCCUCGCAGUUCAAGCAAGCCUCCUAGACCCAAGCGAGGACUGUUUACUUUAAGGGUUCUCGUGGAUCGCUUAUAUGAUGCCCUCAGCCUUCCAGAAACAUUUAGAGGCAUUAUUGAUAUGUUUAUACCUACAGUAGAAGAAUAUCUUCGGAAUCUGACACAAUCAUGGCCCCUCCUUGCUGCGAUCAUAUCUUUCGAUGGAUAAUUCAUCAAGUGAGGUACAAGAUAUGAUCACUGUGCUACAGUGGAACUGUCAUAGUCUAAAACCUAAAUUAGACCUGUUUAAGUUUUUGAUUCACAACUCUGAUUGUGAUAUAUUUGCCCUUUGUGAAACAUGGCUUUCUUCUGAAGAUGAACUCAACUUCCACGAUUUUAACAUUAUACGCCAGAAUAGAGAUGAUCAUUAUGGGGGAGUUCUUUUGGGGAUCAUAAAGACUUACUCAUUUUAUAGAACUCCAAUCGCGACUCAUCCUGGCGUAGAAAUCGUCGCUUGCCAAAUAAACGUAAAGGGUAAAGAACUUUGCGUACCUUCCGUUAACAUUCCUCCAAGAAUUUCAAUUAACCGCCGUCAUCUUUGGAAUGCAGUUUCUGCACUAUCCCAUCCAGUUUUAAUUCUGGGUGAUAUGAACGCACAUGGUACAGGGUGGGGCGAACCAUAUGACGAUAACAGAGCGGCCAUUUUCUAUGAUUUGUGCGACGAUUUCAAUUUGAACAUUUUAAAUACAGGUGAAGUGACACGUAUUGCAUCUGACGGCAAAGAAAGUCGUCUCGACCUAUCACUGGGGUCAAGUUCACUAUCAUUCAAUUGCUUGUGGAAGGUAAUCGAGGAUCCUCAUGGUAGUGAUCACUUAUCCAUUAUAACCACCGUCAAACAUAGUGAAAGGUCAGACCAUCCAAUUCAGGUUCCUUUUGACCUCACAAGGAAUAUCGAUUGGCAAAAGUAUGCAGAAGCGGUAUCUUUUGGCAUCGAAUCAUUCAAUCCCCUCCCACCUUUGGAUGAGUAUCGAUUCCUGUCUGAACUGAUAUAUAAGAGUGCAUUAGAAUCACAAAAACGACGUGUUCCAAGUGCAACCUUCAAAAGAAGACCAGCCACACUAGGCUGGGAUGAUGAUUGCACCCAGUUGUAUCUUAAAAAAUCUGAUGCUUUCAAAACUUUUCGUAGGCACGGUACCUCAGAUCUUUAUCAAGAGUACGCAAAGCUCGAAAGACAGCUGAGAAACCUGCUGAAAGCGAAGAAGCGUAGUUAUUGGCGACACUUCAUUGAGGGUCUCUCAAGAGAAACUUCAGUGACAACGCUUUGGAGAGUGGCUCGCAACAUGCGAAACCGCUCUUCUUCUAAUGAGAGUGACGAAUAAUCCAACCGUUGGAUAUUCAGCUUCGCGAAAAAGGUCUGCCCAGACUCAGUCCCAGCACAACCGAUUUCUUGGGAAACAUCCCCAAGAGACGGUUCUCUGGACAGACCCUUCACUAUGCUGGAACUUUCUAUGGCUCUUCUUUCAUCAAACAAUUCCGCUCCGGGACGCGAUAUGAUCAAGUUCAAUCUUCUUAAGAAUCUCCCAGAUAUUGCGAAAAGACGACUACUGGAUCUGUGCAACUCAUUCAUGGAGAACAACAUUGUUCCGCUAGAAUGGAGACAGGUCAAAGUAAUAGUUAUUCAAAAGCCUGGUAAACCAGCGUCUGAUCAUAAUUCAUACCGCUCAAUUGCUAUGUUAUCAUGUUUAAGGAAAUUGUUGUAAAAAAUGAUCCUAUCGCGACUCGACCAUUGGGUUGAAUCGAAUAGCUUGCUUUCAAAUACACAGUUCGGGUUUCGCAAGGGCAAAGGAACAAACGAUUGUCUAGCGUUGCUUUCAACAGAUAUUCAACUGGCCUUUGCGGAAAAGGAGCAACUGGCUUCAGUCUUCUUGGAUAUUAAGGGCGCCUUUGAUUCAGUUUCCAUAGGAAUAUUGUCAGAAAAACUGCACAAUAGUGAGCUUCAAUCUCGGACAACUGACAACUUCCAGAAUUAGCUACAUGGGUCUACUCCAAGGCUCAUGUCUAAGUCCCUUGCUUUAUAAUUUUUACCUGAAAGACAUUGAUAGUUGCUUGGAAGGUGUUACUAGAACUAGUAACAAUAUGUUGCUUCCGGAAAUUUAACACUCGUUUUAUUGGUUUUUGAGAGAGAGUUAUAAUUUCCCUAAAAAAUUCAAUAGUAUUAGAUGGAUACAUAGUAGAUUUUUUGAGGUUAUCUUACGUUUAGUAUUUUCCAUAGUAGGUUUAAAUUCAGCCUGUCGAAUUCAAUUGAACACCCUCUACACAAUCUAGGAUAAUAAGUAGAAUUUAGUAACUUGUAACUAGAUGGUCAUAACUAUUUUACCUCAAUCAAUGCAAUUUUAGUUUUUUUUAAAGAAUAAUCGCGCUAGCUAUCACCGAACUAAUAAUUUUGUAAAACCUACAAAAAAUAAGUUGAAUUCAACUUUUUUUAUAAUUCACAUAUUGAAAUCUCACUUUAGAUAGGAAAAUAAAUUCAAUUAUUAAGCAAAAAUAGGGUAAUUUGCCAAUUAUUGCACACCACCCAAUUGUUGCACACCGUGUAUAUUUAUACCAAUUAAGGAAUACACGGGAAAUACCGAACGUAGAAUAAUGUUUUAAUGCAAUUUUCGAUCAUUUAUGUAGUAGUUCCAACACUUUAUUUUUUAAUAAAAUCAUAUUAAAAGGUUCUUUAAUGCGAUUUUAAUAAGUUGAUGUACAAAGGCUAAAAAACACCAGCCUGCUUAGCUGAAAUGUUUAAAAUUUCACAUUUCAAAAUAAGCUUUUAUUCGACAUUGUAGUUGUUUUAGCCGUAUUAGUGAUUUGCAGUACAACAAAUGCAUUUACUUUCAGUUAUUUUUCAAUCAUAAUAUGAUUAUGUUACAACCUGGAGUUCUGGGUGGCCGAGACACAUGAUAGUGUAAUGAUAACUCCAGGUGUAAACGAAACACAUUAAAAACGUAACUUUAUUUACAUAAAAGAUUACAUGACUAUGACGCGACACGUAUACACAAUGACGGUUACAGAACUUCUAAAACUAAUGUCUGCUUUUGUGCAUCAACCGAUCGCAUAUUGAAAUGCUAUCGGCGAGCAAGCAGAGCGGCGAGAGUUGAGAGAUUGUUCAGUGGUUCUCAACAUCUCCCCCGCUGAAUCGUUGACGGUGUUUCCAUAGCAGCGGUCUUCGGACGUGGGAAGAUCAAUGAUGGUGGACAGUGUAGAUAGCGUGGUCGAUGAUCAUGUUGACGAGAGUUGCUGUUCGAUCAUCGGAGCUCCUGGUUCCACCAUGGUUGACUAUCCACUCGAAGAUAUCGCUGUAUACCGAUGCACGUCCACUUGUUGAAUCCAUCCGAUGUCCAUUCCGAUCAAGAAAAUGUUGGACAAAUUUCAGAUCUGACUGAUGAAACAAAUUAACGAUGGACUCAACAACGCUUUUGGUGCUGACUGCUUGAUGUUGAUUGAAUUUAAUUAGCACCUCCCGAAGUGAUCUGAUCUCGCAUGAAUUGAACACCUCUGCUGCCUGCGUGCUCUGCAAAGCGUAUUCAAAUCCAAUUUCACUGCUACCGCCGGGUGUAGGUACGGCAACGGCAAGAGGAAAUAUCGGUCCUCUUUUGUGCUGCUGCUGUUGAUCACACUGAGUCGUCGUCCGCGUCGUCGGCGUGGGAACACACAGCUGGUCCAUUGAAGACUGUUGCUGAUGCUGUUCGUUUAUUGCCGCCGUAGUAUCGACGACAUUUGGAUGCGGUUGGGAAUUGUGUGGUUGUUGCCGGGUACUCCAAUACAGCGAGAACAGAUGGAAUUGCUGAUUUAUUGAUUCCAUAGUAUGUUGAUACUGAAGCUGCAGCAGUUGUUGCAUACUUUCGAAGAACCUUUCACUGGCUUCUCGCAUCUGCUGGAGGGACUGUUCCGACUGCUUCUGACCGGGUGGAAACUGGACGGUCGAAAGUGGCAGUGGUGUUUGUUGUACCACUGUUGGCUGCGCAUGACACAAUGGCGUACUGCUGAAUGGCCCAUUGAAUCCAGCCGCCAGUUGAUAGUUAUGGUGGUGCUGAUGAGGUUGAAUGUUCGCGGGUUGACUUGACGAAAAAGACGGGAUUGAUGAUGAUGCGUGUUGGUUCUUGUGUGCUGAUUCAAGAACCGGCGGAUGUAGUCGCUGACUCACUUGAUGCUGAUGCGGAUCUUAACCAGCCAAUGAUGCUGGAUGCUGGAGCUGAACUUGAUCACUCCUCACGAAGUUCAUUGUGCCGUCCAUCUUCUCCUCCGCGGUAAAACAAACGCGUCGCGAUUCCUCACUGCACGCACGGGUUUCUCGUCGCCACUGUUACAACCUGGAGUUCUGGGUGGCCGAGACACAUGAUAGUGUAAUGAUAACUCCAGGUGUAAACGAAACAAAUUAAAAACGUAACUUUAUUUACAUAAAAGAUUACAUGACUAUGACGCGACACGUAUACACAAUGAAGGUUACAGAACUUCUAAAACUAAUGUCUGCUUUUGUGCAUCAACCGAUCGCAUAUUGAAAUGCUAUCGGCGAGCAAGCAGAGCGGCGAGAGUUGAGAGAUUGUUCAGUGGUUCUCAACAGAUUAUUUUGCAAAUAAUAGUUAUUUUAAUCCCCCGUACAAUAAUUGGCUCAAAAAAAAAAUCGUCGUUCCUAUUUUAUUGCACAAACCAUAACCACACUUUUUUUACCGUGCGUAGUAGUCUGACAGCUCCGCCGGCGGAGUGUUUGUUUAUCAUUCGUCAGAGAAAACUUUGCUUGGGAAGCUGCCUUGGAAUUUGCCUUCCAGAUAACACGGAUUUUUACUGGAUUUCGACCUGCAUAAUGGAUACACAGGUAACGUGAAUGUUGCUUAUACCUAUUUGAAUACCAAACAUCACAUAACUUCAAUUUUAGAACUAUACUUUGCCGGCUCCCGAUCCUGAACAUUCUGCCCCGCCGCCCGCCGUCGAGAAUCCGUAAAAAAUAUACGGAAGGCGCCUUGCAACAAAGCAUAGCUGCGGUAAAAACGAAGGCAAUGACACUAGGGCAGGCUUCCAGCUGCUUCAGAGUACCGAAAUCAACAAUUAAGUUUCGUAUUGGUUCGAAGUGGACGAAAAAACUUCGGAGGGGUCCACAGACUGUGCUUACCCUGCAGGAGGAAAUUAAAUUGGUAAAAAGAAUCCAAGAAAUGGAACGCCGUGGUUUUCCUUGCACGAAGCAUGCUGUCGUGUUCCGAGUAAAAGCUUUUCUCGACGAUAAUCCCCGCAAAACACCGUUCAAGAAUAACAAACCAGGAUACAAGUGGCUGCAACUGUUCCUUGGCCGACACAAUCAGCUCUGUAUUCGAAAACCGGAAAACGUCACUAUGGCAAGUGCAACUGUUUCUGAACCGGACAUACGUUCUUGGUUUCAAAAGAUCAUGCAGUAUCUGCGCGCAAACGGAUUGGAGGAUGUUCUAACAGAUCCGCGGCGUAUUCUUAACGGUGACGAAACCGGUUUUCCGUUCGAUCCCGUCACAAAAGCUGUUCUCGCAUCAAAGGGAAACCGUAACGUCUACUUGGUUCAGCAGGCUGAUCCCAAGAAGAAUGUAACAGUGCUGUUUACAUUUGAUGCUGACGGAUACAUGUUCCCGCCGGAUACUAUUUUGCCAUACAAGCGAUUGCCCAAGCAGCUCAUAAUGAAUUUUGAUUCUGACUGGGGAAUUGGAAAGUCCGACAAAGGGUGGAUGGACAGCGAAAAUUUCGUUGCCUAGGUUAAUUUGCCAAAUAUUGCACACCACCCAAUUGUUGCACACCGUGUAUAUUUAUGCCAAUUAAGGAAUACACGGGAAAUACCGAACGUAGAAUAA